This 484-nucleotide ribosomal RNA is filed under the name uncultured bacterium. RNAcentral's name for it is "partial 16S ribosomal RNA". It matches the Rfam family "Bacterial small subunit ribosomal RNA", at positions 28 to 523 of the family's 1533-position model. The record is from RNAcentral.
GACGAACGCUGGCGGUGUGCUUAACACAUGCAAGUCGAACGAUGAAGCCGGAGCUUGCUCUGGUGAAUUAGUGGCGAACGGGUGAGUAACACGUGAGUAACCUGCCCUUGACUCUGGGAUAACUGCGGGAAACUGUAGCUAAUACCGGAUACGACCCUCGGAGGCAUCUCCUGGGGGUGGAAAGAAUUUCGGUCAAGGAUGGACUCGCGGCCUAUCAGCUAGUUGGUGAGGUAAAGGCUCACCAAGGCGACGACGGGUAGCCGGCCUGAGAGGGGAGCCGGCCACACUGCGACUGAGACACGGCCCAGACUCCUACGGGAGGCAGCAGUGGGGAAUAUUGCACAAUGGGCGCAAGCCUGAUGCAGCAACGCCGCGUGAGGGAUGACGGCCUUCGGGUUGUAAACCUCUUUUAGCAGGGAAGAAGCGAAAGUGACGGUACCUGCAGAAAAAGCACCGGCUAACUACGUGCCAGCCGCCGCAGUAA